UACGUAGGUGGCAAGCGUUGUCCGGAAUUAUUGGGCGUAAAGCGCGCGCAGGCGGCCUCUUAAGUCUGAUGUGAGAGCCCCCGGCUCAACCGGGGAGGGCCAUUGGAAACUGGGAGGCUUGAGUAUAGGAGAGAAGAGUGGAAUUCCACGUGUAGCGGUGAAAUGCGUAGAGAUGUGGAGGAACACCAGUGGCGCCGGCGACUCUUUGGCCUAUAACUGACUCUGAGGCGCGAAAGCUUGAAGAUCAAACAGG
Molecule: unclassified non-coding RNA, 253 nt
Filed under: uncultured Caryophanales bacterium
Lineage: Bacteria; Bacillati; Bacillota; Bacilli; Caryophanales
Description: uncultured Bacillales bacterium contains 16S-23S intergenic spacer region
Rfam family: Bacterial small subunit ribosomal RNA
Source: RNAcentral